This 61-nucleotide microRNA precursor is filed under the name Bactrocera dorsalis (oriental fruit fly). RNAcentral's name for it is "microRNA bdo-mir-8 precursor". Its record names the gene bdo-mir-8. It matches the Rfam family "mir-8/mir-141/mir-200 microRNA precursor family", at positions 6 to 67 of the family's 72-position model. Rfam says of the family: The bounds of the precursors are predicted based on conservation and base pairing and are not generally known. The record is from miRBase by way of RNAcentral. Lineage: Eukaryota; Metazoa; Arthropoda; Insecta; Diptera; Tephritidae.
CAUCUUACCGGGCAGCAUUAGAUUUUUCAAAUACAUUUCUAAUACUGUCAGGUAAAGAUGU